RNAcentral lists this ribosomal RNA (240 nucleotides) under uncultured Providencia sp. RNAcentral describes it as "partial 16S ribosomal RNA". It matches the Rfam family "Bacterial small subunit ribosomal RNA", at positions 1 to 259 of the family's 1533-position model. The record is from RNAcentral. Lineage: Bacteria; Pseudomonadati; Pseudomonadota; Gammaproteobacteria; Enterobacterales; Morganellaceae.
CGGCUUAAAUUUUGAUCUUGGCUCAAAUUGACCGCUGGCGGCGGGCCUAACACUUGCAAUUCGAGCGGUAGGGAAGCUUGCUUCUCACAACCGGCGAACGGGUGAGUAUUGUAUGGGGAUCUGCCCAAUAAAGGGGGAUACCUCCGGAAAACGGUACUAAUCCCCCAAAAUCUCUAAGGAGCAAACCAGUUCGUUGCCCUAUCGAAUAACCCCUUAUGGAAUUAUUUAUUUGGGGAGGUA